This 253-nucleotide ribosomal RNA is filed under the name uncultured bacterium. Its description in RNAcentral is "partial 16S ribosomal RNA". It matches the Rfam family "Bacterial small subunit ribosomal RNA", at positions 524 to 776 of the family's 1533-position model. The record is from RNAcentral.
UACGUAGGGUGCAAGCGUUGGCCGGAAUUAUUGGGCGUAAAGAGCUCGUAGGUGGCCUGUCGCGUCGGCUGUGAAAACUCGGGGCUCAACUCCGAGCUUGCAGUCGAUACGGGCAGGCUAGAGUUCGGCAGGGGAGACUGGAAUUCCUGGUGUAGCGGUGAAAUGCGCAGAUAUCAGGAGGAACACCGGUGGCGAAGGCGGGUCUCUGGGCCGAUACUGACACUGAGGAGCGAAAGCGUGGGGAGCGAACAGG